This 426-nucleotide ribosomal RNA is filed under the name uncultured Actinomycetes bacterium. Its description in RNAcentral is "bacterial SSU rRNA". It matches the Rfam family "Bacterial small subunit ribosomal RNA", at positions 233 to 671 of the family's 1533-position model. Lineage: Bacteria; Bacillati; Actinomycetota; Actinomycetes. The record is from RNAcentral.
GCGGCCUAUCAGCUUGUUGGUGAGGUAAUGGCUUACCAAGGCGACGACGGGUAGCCGGCCUGAGAGGGCGACCGGCCACACUGGGACUGAGACACGGCCCAGACUCCUACGGGAGGCAGCAGUGGGGAAUAUUGGGCAAUGGAGGAAACUCUGACCCAGCGACGCCGCGUGCGGGAUGAAGGCCUUCGGGUUGUAAACCGCUUUCAGCAGGAAGGAAGCGAAAGUGACGGUACCUGCAGAAGAAGCACCGGCUAACUAUGUGCCAGCAGCCGCGGUAAUACAUAGGGUGCAAGCGUUGUCCGGAAUUAUUGGGCGUAAAGAGCUCGUAGGUGGUUCGUCACGUCGGAUGUGAAAAUCUGGGGCUCAACCCCAGACCUGCAUUCGAUACGGGCGAGCUAGAGUUUGGUAGGGGAGACUGGAAUUCCU